This 76-nucleotide transfer RNA is filed under the name Salmonella enterica subsp. enterica serovar Typhimurium str. STm6. RNAcentral describes it as "tRNA-Val". It matches the Rfam family "tRNA". Rfam says of the family: Transfer RNA (tRNA) molecules are approximately 80 nucleotides in length. Their secondary structure includes four short double-helical elements and three loops (D, anti-codon, and T loops). Lineage: Bacteria; Pseudomonadati; Pseudomonadota; Gammaproteobacteria; Enterobacterales; Enterobacteriaceae. The record is from RNAcentral.
CGGUGAUUAGCUCAGCUGGGAGAGCACCUCCCUUACAAGGAGGGGGUCGGCGGUUCGAUCCCGUCAUCACCCACCA